UUCUCUCUGAAUCUGCGAACGGCUCCGCAAACCAGUUGUAAACCAAAGCAAGCAUACUCGGGGACUGCCCUUCACGGGGUGGGCUUCGGGUGAUACGGAUAACCCUGGUAAUUCUGAGGCUAAUACGAGAAUAUAAUCCCUGGCGGACCGGGCAACUGGGAAGCUGGGGGGCGUGUGAUCUAUUUGCAAGACGAUACCAGGAGGGGGUGCACGCUCUGACCGCGAUAAAGACGGUUCCGGUAAACCUUCGGGUGAGCUGGUUCCGAGCGGCUCUUGCGAUGUGCUUCUGACCUAUCAACUAGAUGGCAGCGUAACGGACAUGCCAUGGUUACAACGGGUACAGAGGA
RNAcentral lists this ribosomal RNA (347 nucleotides) under Diderma niveum. RNAcentral describes it as "SSU rRNA". It matches the Rfam family "Eukaryotic small subunit ribosomal RNA", at positions 75 to 369 of the family's 1831-position model. Lineage: Eukaryota; Evosea; Eumycetozoa; Physariida; Didymiaceae. The record is from RNAcentral.